UAGGGAAUAUUGGACAAUGGGCGCAAGCCUGAUCCAGCCAUCCCGCGUGAAGGAUGAAGGUCCUCUGGAUUGUAAACUUCUUUUCUUUGGGAAUAAAAACUGGGGUUCUCCUCAGCUUGAAGGUACCAGAGGAAUAAGCACCGGCUAACUCCGUGCCAGCAGCCGCGGUAAUACGGAGGGUGCAAGCGUUAUCCGGAUUCACUGGGUUUAAAGGGUGCGUAGGUGGCUUUGUAAGUCAGUGGUGAAAGCUUGGAGCUUAACUCCGAAACUGCCAUUGAUACUGCUUAGCUUGAAUCAGGUCGAGGUGGAUGGAAUAUUACAUGUAGCGGUGAAAUGCUUAGAUAUGUUAUAGAACACCAAUUGCGAAGGCAGUUCACCAGCCCUGUAUUGACACUGAGGCACGAAAGCGUGGGGAUCAAACAGG
This 424-nucleotide ribosomal RNA is filed under the name uncultured bacterium. RNAcentral's name for it is "bacterial SSU rRNA". It matches the Rfam family "Bacterial small subunit ribosomal RNA", at positions 355 to 776 of the family's 1533-position model. The record is from RNAcentral.